AAUCGAACCCGGAGAUAGCUGGUUCUCCCCGAAAUAGUUUUAGGACUAGCCUCAAGUUAGAUACCUGGAGGUAAAGCACUGAAUAGCCUAGCGGCCGAGAGGUUAGCGAAGCUUAUCAAACUCAGAAUGCCAGAGUAUUGAUGCUUGGGAGUCAGACAGUGUCAGAUAAAUGUCAUUGUCAAAAGGGAAACAGCCCAGAUCUACAGCUAAGGUCCCAAAGUCAGGUUAAGUGGAAAACGAUGUGAAGAUACGCAGACAACCAGGAUGUUGGCUCAGAAGCAGCCACUCAUUCAAAGAGUGCGUAAUAGCUCACUGGUCGAGCGUCUUUGCGCGGAGAAUUUAACGGGGCUAAACCUGACACCGAAGCUUAGGCAAUCCAGUAAUGGAUUGGGUAGGGGAGCGUUGUAUACGCGGAGAAACAGUAGCGUAAGCGGCUGUGGAGUGUAUAGAAGUGAGAAUGCCGGAAUGAGUAGCGCGAAUGCAGUGAGAAUCUGCAUGGCCGAAAGCCUCAGGUUUUUGGAGGAAGGUUCGUCCGCUCCAAGUUAGUCGGGAGCUAAGGUGAGGCCGGAAGGCGUAGCCGAUGCACAGACGGUAGAGAUUCCGUCACCACCAAAAGAGUUAAGCACAGGGACACAUUUGAAGUCUCAGAGCCGGGUGUUGGUUCCGGUAGAGAUCGAGGGAAAUUAGUACCGAAGUCUGAGAUGGAAGAUGGCGAGAAAAGCUGUGUGUAUUUCUGAGGUGCCCGUACCGCAAACCGACACAGGUAGGUAGGAAGAAGAUUCUAAGGCCAACGGGAGAAGGGUUGUUAAGGAACUCGGCAAAUUGACCCCGUAACUUCGGGAGAAGGGGUGCUCCAGAGAUGGAGCCGCAGAGAAUCGGCCCAAGCAACUGUUUACCAAAAACACAGGUUUGUGCUAAAUCGAAAGAUGACGUAUACGAGCUGACGCCUGCCCGGUGCUGGAAGGUUAAGAGGAGAUGUGCAAGCAUUGAAUCGAAGCCCCAGUGAACGGCGGCCGUAACUAUAACGGUCCUAAGGUAGCGAAAUUCCUUGUCAGGUAAGUUCUGACCCGCAUGAAAGGCGUAAUGAUUUGGGCACUGUCUCAACAGCCCGCCCGGCGAAAUUGUAGUACCGGUGAAGAUGCCGGUUACCCGCGACAAGACGGAAAGACCCCAUGGAGCUUUACUGUAGCCUAAUAUUGGGUUUCGAUGUUGCAUGCACAGGAUAGAUGGGACACUGGGAAACAGGAGCUUUGGCUUCUGCGGAGUGGCCGUUGGGAUACCAUCCUUGCGAUAUUGGAAUUCUAACCUGCGGCUCUGAAUCGAGUCGGGGGACAUUGUUAGGUGGGCAGUUUGACUGGGGCGGUCGCCUCCUAAAAAGUAACGGAGGCGUUCAAAGGUUCGCUCAGCUUGAACGGAAAUCAAGCAAAAGAGUGCAAACGCAGAAGCGAGCCUAACUGCGAGACUGACGGGUCGAGCAGUAACGAAAGUUGGAGUUAGUGAUCCGGUGGUAUGUGAGUGGAAAUGCCAUCGCUCAACGGAUAAAAGUUACCCUGGGGAUAACAGGCUGAUCUCCCCCAAGAGUCCACAUCGACGGGGAGGUUUGGCACCUCGAUGUCGGCUCAUCGCAUCCUGGGGCUGUAUUCGGUCCCAAGGGUUUGGCUGUUCGCCAAUUAAAGCGGUACGCGAGCUGGGUUCAGAACGUCGUGAGACAGUUCGGUCCCUAUCUGUCGUGGGCGCAGGAUAUUUGAUGGGAGCUGUCCCUAGUACGAGAGGACCGGGACGGACGUACCUCUGGCGCACCAGUUGUUCCGCCAGGAGCAUAGCUGGGCAACUACGUACGGAUCGGAUAAACGCUGAAAGCAUCUAAGCGUGAAGCCGACCCAAAGAUAAGAUAUCCCAUUGU
RNAcentral lists this ribosomal RNA (1903 nucleotides) under human gut metagenome. RNAcentral describes it as "bacterial LSU rRNA". It matches the Rfam family "Bacterial large subunit ribosomal RNA", at positions 831 to 2820 of the family's 2925-position model. The record is from RNAcentral.